Panicum virgatum (switchgrass) is the source of this 857-nucleotide long non-coding RNA. RefSeq lists it as uncharacterized. NCBI's taxonomy places the organism in Eukaryota, Viridiplantae, Streptophyta, Magnoliopsida, Poales, Poaceae. The record is from RefSeq and is a predicted model, not a curated record. The transcript has 2 exons.
UCGCUCCGGCUUGCAGGCAGAUCCCAUCCCAAUCGCCCAGCUCCUACGGGGUAGAAGGAUGGACUCGCCUAGAUCUUCAGCGCGCUCGGCGGGGGCGGGUGGUGCUGGAGUACUCCGUGAGGAGUGCCUCUUCGACGUCGAUACUGGAUCCAGAUGAGGCAGCACGAGGAACGGAUCGGAGCGCGGCGCGUACAACGAAUGAAGCGGAACGACAAUGGAUGGAGGUCGCCGGACUCGGGGUUGAUGGCCUCGAGGAGGUGGUACAGGCGCUGCAUGCGACAGUUCUCCGUCACCGGCAACCGUGCCGGCGGUGAUCAUUAAGUUUGGAAGCCGGCGCCGGCGGCCUCGAGGAGGUGAUCGUUAAGUUUGGAAGCGAUCUAGGCCGCGCCGGCGGCCGUGAUCGUUGUCGAGGACUUCGGCAAGUACUGCGGCGUCCGGCAGCGUCCCUGUGGCAAGUACGCGGCGGAGAUCCACGAUCUGAAGCGUCGGGGAUCUGAAGCGUCCAGGCCGCGCGCGGAUUGGGGAUCCGCCGGCAAGAUGGAGCGAGCCGAGGAAGACGACCAGAAGACCGCUCACUGGCUGAUGGGCCCUUUCGCUUGGGAAAGAAAGAGUCGUUGGAUCAAGAAUGAACGGUGGAGAUGGUGGGGAAGUUGCAACGUGACGUCGUUGAGUAAAUACUGAAUCCGGCUCUGGUGUGAAGUGGGAUCGGACCAGAGCGGCAAGGCAAGGAGGAUGAAAUCCAUUAUGCCAGUUUCAGGAGAGUUUUAUGGACACAUUAUUUUAUAGAAACUAAUUUUUUUUUAAAUAUUGGAAACUCUAAUCAAGACAACAUGAUUCUCGUUCGAGGGUUAUGCGCA